Molecule: long non-coding RNA, 423 nt
Organism: Dermacentor silvarum
Lineage: Eukaryota; Metazoa; Arthropoda; Arachnida; Ixodida; Ixodidae
Exons: 2
Source: RefSeq, a predicted model, not a curated record
UUUUCUAUAUCUACAGUUUGUGAUGACGGCCCGGAAGAUAUGCAGAGCCCUGCAAGAGGCUGGCUACUGGGCUGACUUCAUCGAUCCGUGUAGUGGAAGGCCAUCACUGGGACCUUACACCAACGCAACACUUCUGGAAACUGAUGAGCGUUAUAGGCACUUUGGAUUCACCAUUGAAGACCUUGGAUGUUGCAAAGUGAUCACUCAUCAUUUGUGGGGUAGUAAUGCCUUUGUUGGCUGCUUGUUUACGAAUGCUCCUGCUGACAGCCUAGAAGUACAGAAGAUACUGUGUGAGCAUAACGAGUGACUGCUGGUGCGACGCUGCCAAAGGACAUAUAAAUAUUUGUACAUUUGCUGGCUGGUGCUGUGUUCAAGGUAUGCACUCUUGCAAGAACAGUGAAAAAAAAAUAAAGCUAUUAGGAA